UACGGAGGGGGCUAGCGUUGUUCGGAAUUACUGGGCGUGAAGCGCACGUAGGCGGCUUUGUAAGUUAGAGGUGAAAGCCCGGAGCUCAACUCCGGAACUGCCUUUAAGACUGCAUCGCUUGAACGUCGGAGAGGUAAGUGGAAUUCCGAGUGUAGAGGUGAAAUUCGUAGAUAUUCGGAAGAACACCAGUGGCGAAGGCGACUUACUGGACGACUGUUGACGCUGAGGUGCGAAAGCGUGGGGAGCAAACAGG
This 253-nucleotide ribosomal RNA is filed under the name uncultured bacterium. Its description in RNAcentral is "partial 16S ribosomal RNA". It matches the Rfam family "Bacterial small subunit ribosomal RNA", at positions 524 to 776 of the family's 1533-position model. The record is from RNAcentral.